AUGUUGGGAGACUUCAAUGAAAUAUUAUUUUCUUCAGAAAAAGAGGGAGGGAAUAUGAGGCCUAAUGCAAUGAUGAGAUAAUUUUGUAAUUUCUUACGAGAAUGCGGUCUAGAAGAUAUGGGUUAUAUUAGUGAUCGCUUGACUUGGAGAAUAGGCGAGAUUAGGGAGAGAUUUGAUCGUGGGGUUUGUAAUGUGGAGUGGGUGAACAAGUUUCCACGGGCUGCAAUCAUGAACGAAGAACAAAUUUAA
Molecule: ribosomal RNA, 249 nt
Filed under: Triticum aestivum (bread wheat)
Lineage: Eukaryota; Viridiplantae; Streptophyta; Magnoliopsida; Poales; Poaceae
Description: partial small subunit ribosomal RNA
Source: RNAcentral